This is a long non-coding RNA of Lethenteron reissneri (Far Eastern brook lamprey), 1850 nucleotides long. RefSeq lists it as uncharacterized. The record is from RefSeq and is a predicted model, not a curated record. NCBI's taxonomy places the organism in Eukaryota, Metazoa, Chordata, Hyperoartia, Petromyzontiformes, Petromyzontidae.
UAAAAUCGUUCAUGUCUGUGUGUCUGUGUGUGUGUGUGUGGACUGCACUUUCAUUGGACGGCGGUUGCCCCUGGCAACGGCUAGCCACGCCUUCGCCGCUUUCAUUGGACGGCGGUUGCCCCUGGCAACGAGUAGCAACUUUUCUCCGCGGGGUGGACGCCAUUUUUAAUAGCGCGGGGGGGGGGGGGGGACCGGCACCCGUACCCAGCGUUCGCCGGGUGGGAAAAUCAGGCAAGGCGGGAGGCUCUGCACGGUGCUAGGCCUCGACACCCAACACGCCACUCUGAGGUGCGUGACGUCAUUUAUGGACGGCCCCUAAGGGAGGCAGAGGGACGUCGGCCACGGGGAUGGAGCAAUGGGAUCAGGUGAGGUGCAGUGGGUAUAGCACGGCUGGUAACGACGAGUGUGCGGACCAGCCGGCUCGUCGGUAGCGGCCUCGCAAUGGGAAGGUUGCGAGUUUUAAAUCCCGAUUGAGGGUUGACUCAGCCCAUCAUCUCUACGGGGGGGGGGUGGGUGAUAAAAUGAAUACCACCUUGCAUGGAAGCCAAUAGUGGUUGCCCUAUGGAUAAUCUCAUCCCUGCCAAAGGAACGUGGCAUUUCCACCACUGGUUUAAACCUUACAUGAUCAUGAAAUCAUUGUGACGAUGAUGAUGAUGAUUUGUGAAUAAAGAAGAAGAUGGCUGGAUUGCGGUGCAAGACUGGAGCGCUAUGGACGCCUGGCACCUCCGAUGACCACGGUUGGCUACGGAGUGUACGAAAGAAGUUCAACGUCGACUCAGCCUCAAAUGAGUACCUGGUGCAGCUUGUGAAAAAACAUCGCCACUCGGGAGACAAAGGCAUGGUGCUGGCCACCCACCCCUCGUGUGCCGUGCCGGCCUUCAUAGGUGCUCGCUAACAGCACUUGCACCCAAGCAAGUCUGCGAAGACUAUACGGGGGAUCUUUGUCUUUGUUACGUGCAUUCCUCGGUCAUCAUUCUCAGUUAAUUGGCCAAUCAUCCCGACGCAGGACCCUCCCGAAUGGGAGCAUUUUUUGAGACUCGGCGAGACUUUCCUGGAUCAAUCAAAUGAAAGAGAUCACGGGCGUUGCAUUCUGCACUGAAUUCACCCCCGCGGAGAAGCUCCCCGGCACGCGCAGAGAAACGUCGGCAACACCCGGAGCGGCCCGCACGACGAGCGGUGCAAACCAAAAACAAAUCCACACGUGGGAGUCGAUUCACAUCGCGUUGGGGCCGGGGGGGAGGGGGUUACUUCCCCCCGUUUACAACCAGAAAUUUGAAAUCACAAAGCAAUCGGGGGGGAAGGGGUGAUAACAGAAGUGACAGUAUGCCUAUCGGCAUCUGAAAUACACUGAGCAAUGCGUGGCGUCUCACGCAGACCGAAGUAAAUCAAUCCCCCACCCUCCACCAUUUCAAGCAGCGUGGUAACUCGGGAACACCAGUGUUUAGCACGGUUAGUUACGUACGGUGCAAAAGAAGUUCAACAUAAACACACGCCCAUAGUCACUCACAUAGUCACCCACUCACCCACCCACACACUCACCCACCCUCCAAUUAGCACGGUUGGCUACGUGCGGUGCAAAAGAAGUUCAACAUAAACACACACGCCCAUAGUCACUCACCCACUCACAUAGUCACCCACUCACAUAGUCACUCACCCACUCACGUAGUCACCCAUUCACCCACCCACACACUCACCCACCCUCCAAUUAGCACGGUUGGCUACGUACGGUGCAAAAGAAGUUCAACACACAUGCAACUCCGCGUGCGCAACACGCAAUACGUGCCGGACGGCGCUCGGCUGGACGAGGACGCGGAGUUCAAAAGUUCUCAAAUAAAUCAGUUGAAAGCGCA